GUGUCAGCAGCCGCGGUAAUACGUAGGUGGCAAGCGUUGUCCGGAUUUAUUGGGUUUAAAGGGUGCGUAGGCGGUUCCAUAAGUCAGUGGUGAAAUACGGCAGCUCAACUGUCGAGGUGCCAUUGAUACUGCGGAACUUGAGUACUGAUGAGGUAGGCGGAAUUGACGGUGUAGCGGUGAAAUGCUUAGAUAUCGUCAAGAACACCGAUAGCGAAGGCAGCUUACCAAGCAGUAACUGACGCUGAGGCACGAAAGUGCGGGGAUCAAACAGGAUUAGAUACCCUGGUAGUCC
Molecule: ribosomal RNA, 292 nt
Filed under: uncultured bacterium
Lineage: Bacteria
Description: partial 16S ribosomal RNA
Rfam family: Bacterial small subunit ribosomal RNA
Source: RNAcentral